RNAcentral lists this transfer RNA (75 nucleotides) under Candidatus Peregrinibacteria bacterium. RNAcentral's name for it is "tRNA-Thr". It matches the Rfam family "tRNA". Rfam says of the family: Transfer RNA (tRNA) molecules are approximately 80 nucleotides in length. Their secondary structure includes four short double-helical elements and three loops (D, anti-codon, and T loops). Lineage: Bacteria; Candidatus Peregrinibacteriota. The record is from RNAcentral.
GCCGGGAUAGCUCAGUGGUAGAGCAACGCAUUCGUAACGCGUAGGUCGUGGGUUCAACUCCCAUUCUCGGCUCCA